GGAAACCCAAGCCGCAGUCCGCUUGCUGUUUGCCUGCCGGCCUGCAGCCUUGGACGGCUGUGAAAAACUUGUGGCCCUGAGAAGGAGGCCUCCAGAGAAGCUGGGUCUCUGGGGAACGCUUACCGGGUGGUGCGGCCUCAUCUCAGGUUGCGGCCCAUGGAGGAAGCCAAAGCUGCUUUGAAGAGUUUCGUGGUGACAGCCGUGGGCUUAAAAGUGAUAUUUGAUCACUUAGGUCCCUCAGAAGUUCUACAUCGGGUGCAGAAUUUUCAAAAGGAAGGGGUUUGGGAGCGGCAGUCUGAUGGAAAACUGAACCCGAGGACAGGAGCUCUGUUUGCACAGCAGUGUUUUUAUUUUUAUUUGGAUAUUUUGUGGGGAAGAGGGAGCAGUCUUUCCAGCUACUCCAUGGCAUCCAUCAAUGCAAGAGUUGAACUGACAGUCUCCUGGUGAGAAUUGAUUCCGCCAAAUCCUGUCUCUUCUUCAUCUCUAGGAAAAGGAGGAAUACAACUUUUGCCUUUGAAAAGUUUUUAAAACUGCUAAUGAAGAAAACCUGUAACAACAGUAGUAUCAACUUAGAAAAAAUGCACAACAUAAGAGUUGCGAGUUAAGUUUUAUUUGAAGCAAAAUGAGGACUUUAGCGCCAGAAGACAGCACCUCAGGCAGCUCUAAGAAACUGUCCCAAAGAGACGGGGGGAAGGUCAGUGUAUAUGUGAUUUUGGUGAACAGGGAAUACAUGUCAUCAAGCAUAUAUUUUUUCAGAUGGUUUCUGCUAGUGUUGUGAAGCUUUUAGUCAUGAGGAAAAGUCAUCACCUUGAAGGAGUUAGUGCCUUUGUAUAUAUGAGAUGAUGAAAGAACUGGACUCAUAAAAUUGGCUCGUGAAAAUAUCUAUCUGAAGACCUGUGCUGCCAGUUUUCGCCACUGCCCCUUCCCAGCAGCAUGUGACUUAAAUAUUACAGAGGUAGAUGGCAAGUGCCGAUUUGUGGUUGACAGCAGUAGUAGUAAAUCUUACAUAGCACUUUAUAUGCCAAAGCACUGUUCUAAAUUUCUUGUAUAUAUCAACUCAUUUAAUCCUCAUAACAGUCCUAGGAGAUGGAUACUAUUAUCAUCAGCUUGUUGCCCUUUUAUGACUGAGAAAACAGAGACAGACUAAGGUUAUACAGCCAGUAAACCACAGAACUGAGAUUCAAACCAGGUCAGCUAGCUGUAAUCUUUUAUUGUUUAUUAAACAUUCAAAAUAGACACUGCCAGACAAUCUUCAAAACCCACAUAUCACUUGGUACUUUUUAAACAGAGCGAUGGCCCUGUUACCACUGUUUCUUUCAGCUGUUUGCAGUGCC
This 1334-nucleotide long non-coding RNA is filed under the name Bos mutus (wild yak). RNAcentral's name for it is "lncRNA (ENSBMUG00000006761.1)". Lineage: Eukaryota; Metazoa; Chordata; Mammalia; Artiodactyla; Bovidae. The record is from RNAcentral.